Molecule: long non-coding RNA, 936 nt
Filed under: Nicotiana benthamiana
Lineage: Eukaryota; Viridiplantae; Streptophyta; Magnoliopsida; Solanales; Solanaceae
Description: long non-coding RNA (NBEN_LNC007738)
Source: RNAcentral
CCCAGUGGACUGUUGAAAUCCCCCAUUAUAAGCUAGGGCCCAGUUUGUUGGACAGCUCUCAAGUUCCUCCAUAAUGGUGCUCUUUGGUGGGUAGUGUGUAGACCAUAGACAAAGGUGAUAUAGCUAGUAAAGGUUGAGUUUAUGUCUUUCACUUGACAAUGAAUUGAUUGAUUAGUGCUCUCCAGUAUUGCCACUUGAACAUUUACCUCUUUCCACAAUAUCCAUAUUCUGCCACUACGAGCAUGCACAUAGUUAUUCCCUACAUUCUAGUCAUCUCCCAGCCUCUUGUAUAUUGCCAUUGGAUUCUGCUGCUUUACCCUAGUUUCUAGAAGGCUAUCAUAUCAACUCUAUUAGUCCUCAGGAAUUUGACUAACUCUCUCUGCUUGUAGGACUUGUUUGGUCCUCUAAUUUUCCAGGUUACAAUUAUCAUAGGGAAACAGUGGAUGUAGUACCUCCUGGAUCAACUGGCUCUAUGCUGCAUUCUCCCUGUUGUUGGUUUUCAUCAGGGGGUUCUACUAUGGUGAGUAAUGCAAAUGUAUUCCUCCUGGCUGCCUCAGCAUAGUUGGUCAUUUUGUUUUGAUUUUUGUCCUUAGGGCCUUGAACAGCUGCAACCUGUUUGCCUUUGUUGUUCCUUUCUACAGCAGGAAUCUCAGGUUGUUUGUCAUUCUGUGCCCUUCUACUAUCUCCUCAGGAACAGCUUUUGGUUGCCAUUGCACUCGGGUUACCUUCUUUUUUCUCCUUCUCUGUCUCUGGGGUUCUACAGUCUGUUGUUUCUCCUGUUGACAGUCAACAUUUUUGUGACCAAUUCUCAGCCUGUUUGUCAUUCUGUUGUCCUUCAACUAUCUCCUCAGGAGCAGCUUUUGGUUGCCAUUGCACUCGGGUUACCUUCUUUUUCCUUCUUCUCUGUCUCUGGGCUUCUACAAUCUGUUGUUCUUC